UUUUUUUUUUUUGGUUAAUUCAACUGAUUCGAUCAGUAGUGUUAGUGCGAGUCAUUUUGGGGCCGCUGAGAAGGGCAUGGCAGGUUCGGGUCCAGCAUGUUUUGCGCGAGGUUAACCAAACUGCGGAUAGCGUAGGGAAAGCAGGAGUGAAUGCUCCUCCACCAGCUAGCUGUUCAAGUCGUUGUUGUUAUGCCUAACGUGGUUUGAAGGAUCGUGACCGAGAUGGGGAGCCUUAUCAUUGCGCUACUGCUGUUGAGGUUUAGUGGGCAUAUUUGCUUUUGGUUUCUUUCACUUCUUAUUCAAAAAACAAAAAAACAAAGACAAAAUAACUAUGAGAAAAUAUGUAUGGGUUUCUUUGCAGGUGAAUACAAGUGGGUUAAAUUUGACUUCACAUCUUUUCGGUUUCGAUUAAGUUGGUUAUCUAUAUUAUAUAAAAUGAUUACUUGAGUUUGUUUCAUUAAUAAACUCAAUAUUAAUUUAGUUGUGAAAUUACUAAAAUAUACUUAUUUUAGAAUAUAAUUUAUAUUAUUAUAAUGAAAUUUUAACCUUUUCAUAUUUUUAGAUAAUUUUCAAAUAAAAUAAUUAAAAAACAUAAUUUUGAAAGUCAAAUACAUGAGCAACAAAUUCGUGUGAAAAUCUCUUAUCACUCCACAAACAAUAAAUUGUUGAAAUAAUUUUGUAAAUAUAUAUAUUUAAUAUAAAACAUUUUGGUAGGUGUGAUACAUAUAUUAUUUUUAUUUAUUUUAAAUAUAUAAGUUAUAUAAUUAUUUUAAAUAUAAAAUGUAUUACUCUUAAUUUAUUUUAAACAAGAAAAGUGGAUUAAUCAAGUUAAACUGGUGGGGCUAAAUCAAUUACAACCAAAAUGGUUUGAUGAGUGAGUUAUUGGUAGAGGUUAAUGGAUAAAUGAAUUAUGUAUGAAAAGCCUACUAAACCAACCCUCAAACAACUUGUUAUUAGUGCACAACUUGACCAACCCUUUCAUGUUACAGAAUAACGAGACAAGAGACCUAAGAAAUUGCUUUCAAACAGCUUGGACCGACACCGACCACACAUUUUACAUUUACUUCAUAUAUUGAAUUACUCCUCUAAGACUCUAUUCUUCUUAUAGUUUCAUGGUGAGUGACGGCAUCCUCAACAACACAUGGCAGACACGUUGGGCAGUAGAUGGCACUUGGUGUUUUGGGUUUACAAGUUCCAACACGCCAGAGACAACAUGCAAUGAAUCUGGUGCAAGAUUCAGGGUCUUAGCUUGAUUCAUGCCAAAAUAUUCACUUGGGACAAUUACUAGUCUAAGAUCAACCAAUUAUUUGAAACAAGGCUGCAGAGUCUAUAGAGAGCAGCAGCAACCCUUCGGUUUUACCACUUGCUUAUGCCUUUCUUUGUUUUCUUACUCCCAUAACAUGACUCAAAUAUUCUAACUAAUGCGUAUCUUCAAAACUUAUCUCCAAAUCCUAUUUAUCUAUGAUCAUAAACUUAAAUUAUCACCACUACAAAGCUUUGGUGGUAUUUUAGACUGUAGAAUCAAAUGUCAAAAUUGAUGACCCCAAUGGACACUUUCAGGAGGUCUUCUAUUAGAUUUAGAUUUAGAAUGUUUGGAUACCCCAAUGGACAAUUAAGGUAUGUUAUCCAUAUUGCAAUACAUAAAUAGCAACAAACAUUUUUCCUCAUUAAUUAGUGUAAAUACUAUUAAGUAUGGGUCGAGUUUAAUCAAACAGUAAAUGUGAGAUAAUAAUAUUGAAAAGAGAUAAUGAAGGAAAGUUGCAGACAAAGAUGGUAACUUAAAGCAGCCCACUACCACAACAUUAACAGCACAACAUCUGAAAACAUCAGCAACAUACAAUGGAUCAAACAACAACAAAUCUGGGUUUUCAAUUUCCCAUCUAAAAACAAUCACAUAAACACACUGUUACAUUAACAACAAUAACCUUCAUCAUCAAACAAUGACUUCCCACCUCACAUAAAUCAAGCCACAGUCGAAUUCUCGGGCGGCGACGUCCAUAGGAUGUCUUUAAGCGCCGGCCGGAGCUCUUUACUGCAAAACUGAUUGUACUCGAAGGUGUCGCCAUGGUCCUUUUUAACUUCCACCACCAAGAACGACGGCGUCACCGCAAAUAUAUCGGCAGCAAUGGCAAGUUUACCUUUCCUCCCACAUUCUUGACCCUGCAACCUCACCCUACACUCGCUCUUUUUGACGCUGAAC
Molecule: long non-coding RNA, 2200 nt
Filed under: Gossypium barbadense (sea-island cotton)
Lineage: Eukaryota; Viridiplantae; Streptophyta; Magnoliopsida; Malvales; Malvaceae
Description: long non-coding RNA (GBAR_LNC005237)
Source: RNAcentral